Molecule: ribosomal RNA, 459 nt
Filed under: uncultured bacterium
Lineage: Bacteria
Description: partial 16S ribosomal RNA
Rfam family: Bacterial small subunit ribosomal RNA
Source: RNAcentral
CCUACGGGAGGCAGCAGUGAGGAAUAUUGGUCAAUGGGCGGGAGCCUGAACCAGCCAAGCCGCGUGAGGGAAGACGGCCCUAUGGGUUGUAAACCUCUUUUGUCGGAGAACAAACCCCGGCACGCGUCCCGGACUGCGUGUAUCCGACGAAAAAGGAUCGGCUAACUCCGUGCCAGCCGCCGCGGUAAUACGGAGGAUGCGAGCGUUAUCCGGAUUUAUUGGGUUUAAAGGGUGCGUAGGCGGUCCGUUAAGUCCGCGGUAAAAUGGCGGGGCUCAACCCGGGCGAGCCGUUGAAACUGGCAGACUUGAGUGGGCGAGAAGUACGCGGAAUGCGCGGUGUAGCGGUGAAAUGCAUAGAUAUCGCGCAGAACUCCGAUUGCGAAGGCAGCGUACCGGCGCCAGACUGACGCUGAGGCACGAAAGCGUGGGGAUCGAACAGGAUUAGAUACCCGAGUAGUC